Molecule: transfer RNA, 73 nt
Filed under: Ailuropoda melanoleuca (giant panda)
Lineage: Eukaryota; Metazoa; Chordata; Mammalia; Carnivora; Ursidae
Rfam family: tRNA
About the family: Transfer RNA (tRNA) molecules are approximately 80 nucleotides in length. Their secondary structure includes four short double-helical elements and three loops (D, anti-codon, and T loops). Further hydrogen bonds mediate the characteristic L-shaped molecular structure. tRNAs have two regions of fundamental functional importance: the anti-codon, which is responsible for specific mRNA codon recognition, and the 3' end, to which the tRNAs corresponding amino acid is attached (by aminoacyl-tRNA synthetases). tRNAs cope with the degeneracy of the genetic code in two manners: having more than one tRNA (with a specific anti-codon) for a particular amino acid; and 'wobble' base-pairing, i.e. permitting non-standard base-pairing at the 3rd anti-codon position.
Source: Rfam by way of RNAcentral
GCCUGGCUGGCUCAGUUGGUAGAGCAUGUGACUCUUGAUCUUGGGGUUGUGAGUUUGAGCCCCAUGUUAGUCA